Molecule: long non-coding RNA, 1617 nt
Organism: Cryptotermes secundus
Lineage: Eukaryota; Metazoa; Arthropoda; Insecta; Blattodea; Kalotermitidae
Exons: 2
Source: RefSeq, a predicted model, not a curated record
GGCAUCGUGAGGAUUGUGGCGUAGGCAGUUACGUGGCGAAUUGUGUUGCUGGAAUGGCGUCUUGUUAGGUGGUUGAUUGGUGCCCAAGCAGACAAUGAAAGGAAUUACGCUCGGCUCCACGACUGAAGAGCCGAGAAAGUUCAGUCGGUGUUACGACGGUUCCUGGCUGGACAACUAUAGUCUACAGGACUACUGGAAAGGUAAGGUUAUAUAAUAAACGAUAAAUAGUUCAUCAGGUAGAUGCUAGUUAGAACCUUUUAGAUUUGAGGUAGAACAAAUGUCGAAAAGGUGAUUUUUUUUUUAUGUUAUUCCAACCCCACUUUGUGAAAGAUACACUCAGAAGUGAGUACUGUUAGAAUCCCCAUUGAUUCUAAAGAAUAUAAUCUUCACUUCCAUGCUCUGUUUUCAGGAGUCCUUCAGGAACUUGCAUUUAAAGUAGUAGUUGUUACAACCAAGACACUACAAAUUUACAUGGGCAGACUAUUUGAAUGUUAGCACAGAGGGUUAAAUGGUUAAUUAGUACAAGUAUAUACAAUGUAAUUUUCCAUGAACUGUGUACAGCUAGUUUGGACACUUCCAUCAGAUUAUCAAAUACAAUUUUAUGAAAGGAAAUAAGAAGAAAGGAUUUAAAUAUGCUGUCCCUUGUUUGAACAGUUAGUCACUGCUUCUUUGCUAACUGUUACACAUUUGGAAAGCAUUUUUACCUUAAAUUGAAACAAUAUUUCACCAUAAUUUUAUUUCUUACUGGGUAUAUUUAUGCUUAUUCCAGUACAGUUCACUUAUACCUGUUGGAUUUGCUGCCCAUUUCUAUCCUGAAAGUAUAUGUACAAUAUUUUUACUAGCCAAUUGUCUAGAAAAUGUGGGAGCCUCGAUGUGCUGCAGUCCUGUGGGCUUCCACUGCCUGUUAGCAGGGAUAGCUUUGCCUUUUACUGUACUUUUAUGAAAAUGUAGCGUGGGAACUGCCCACAUUCAAGGAAUGGUACCUGAUGCAAUGGCAAGUAAACAGUCGUUGCUAAGCAGUGGUACCUGACCUGUCUCACUGUAACGUUUGCUUGAAUGUGGGAAACUCCCACAGUGGAUUGGUGGUUGUUGGUUCACUGGGCAUCGAUAUCCAACAGUAAAGAAGAGUUUGCAUUUUUUUCUCAUCCAGAUCAUGUAAGAUCUUAUAGGUCAGACAGAAUUGAUCAAAUUUCUGUUUCUGCUGGCUUCUCUUUUGCAUCUUCGUGGUCAAAUUAGAUUGUUGAAUAGUUUGGGAGAUAUACAGAACAUUAUUUAAGCAUGAAAAUUUGAGUCACUUCGUAGAAUCAAAAAUCUAGAUUUAGAGUAUCAACAUUUUAUAUUUUUAGCAUAGAAAUUUUGUAAAUGAAUUGGUGCACUAUAUAUUACAGUGGGACUCAACAAAUUUCAGGCACCAGGCGCAUAUGGUGCCUAUAAAUUUUCGGUUCUCUAGUUUCAAAAAUCCUACUUCAACAGUCUUUGUUUAGCAUUAUUUGGAAUUAAGACAUAUUUGUCAGGUGAGAGCUGAUAAACUCCGUGGCUUUAGUCCGCAAGCGAACUAUACCAGCCGAGCGACCACCGCUUGCUCUCUGUCUGCUAAGUGCAGAGCUGAAGUGUAUU